GGCCAGGUAGCUCAGUUGGUAGAGCACACGACUGAAAAUCGUGGUGUCGGCGGUUCGACUCCGCCCCUGGCCA
RNAcentral lists this transfer RNA (73 nucleotides) under Gemmatimonadota bacterium. RNAcentral's name for it is "Gemmatimonadetes bacterium (freshwater metagenome) tRNA-Phe". It matches the Rfam family "tRNA". From Rfam's summary of the family: Transfer RNA (tRNA) molecules are approximately 80 nucleotides in length. Their secondary structure includes four short double-helical elements and three loops (D, anti-codon, and T loops). Further hydrogen bonds mediate the characteristic L-shaped molecular structure. tRNAs have two regions of fundamental functional importance: the anti-codon, which is responsible for specific mRNA codon recognition, and the 3' end, to which the tRNAs corresponding amino acid is attached (by aminoacyl-tRNA synthetases). tRNAs cope with the degeneracy of the genetic code in two manners: having more than one tRNA (with a specific anti-codon) for a particular amino acid; and 'wobble' base-pairing, i.e. permitting non-standard base-pairing at the 3rd anti-codon position. The record is from RNAcentral. RNAcentral also lists the same sequence under 1 other name. Lineage: Bacteria; Pseudomonadati; Gemmatimonadota.